CACUGCCGAGAAAAGCCUCUAGAUAGAAAAUAGGUGCCCGUACCGCAAACCGACACAGGUAGUCAAGAUGAGAAUUCUAAGGUGAGCGAGCGAACUCUCGUUAAGGAACUCGGCAAAAUGACCCCGUAACUUCGGGAGAAGGGGUGCUCUUUAGGGUUAACGCCCAGAAGAGCCGCAGUGAAUAGGCCCAAGCGACUGUUUAUCAAAAACACAGGUCUCUGCUAAACCGUAAGGUGAUGUAUAGGGGCUGACGCCUGCCCGGUGCUGGAAGGUUAAGAGGAGUGGUUAGCUUCUGCGAAGCUACGAAUCGAAGCCCCAGUAAACGGCGGCCGUAACUAUAACGGUCCUAAGGUAGCGAAAUUCCUUGUCGGGUAAGUUCCGACCCGCACGAAAGGCGUAACGAUUUGGGCACUGUCUCAACGAGAGACUCGGUGAAAUCAUAGUACCUGUGAAGAUGCAGGUUACCCGCGACAGGACGGAAAGACCCCGUGGAGCUUUACUGUAGCCUGAUAUUGAAAUUCGGCACAGCUUGUACAGGAUAGGUAGGAGCCUUUGAAACGUGAGCGCUAGCUUACGUGGAGGCGCUGG
Molecule: ribosomal RNA, 588 nt
Filed under: Staphylococcus aureus
Lineage: Bacteria; Bacillati; Bacillota; Bacilli; Caryophanales; Staphylococcaceae
Description: partial 23S ribosomal RNA
Rfam family: Bacterial large subunit ribosomal RNA
Source: RNAcentral